AUGGGCACAAGGACCAAAGACAAGAAUUGCUUUAAUAUUUGUUGUGUUUUAGUGUGUUGAUACUUCAUAAGACUUAUUUUGAGUACUUGUACAGACCAGUUACUUAUUUUUUUAUUUAUUUUAUUCUUUCUUGGUCUAUUUUUGACUCUACAGGGUGGGAUAGUGACAUCUCAGCCUUACUGUUGCUGCUGUAUCUCCUGCCCCCAACUCCAAAGGGCCACAAGAAGGCAGUAAAGAUCAGCCCCCUUCAGGCAGCUGACCAUGAGGUGCGAUUUCUUAGGCAUAUCAGACCCGAACCAGACUAAUUAAAGAUUCGAUCGGGAGCAUGGUUGAAACAUGAGACGAAUUCCACAGAAAGGCAACAGGAUGUUGUAAAUCAACUCCUAGCACCACAGUCUGAAGCAAGAUAACCAACCAACUCUUUCACAGAACAGCUUUCAACAUUAACACAAUUAGAACAAUUAUUGACAAUUUCAAUUCGGAAAAGAGAUUGUCAAAUUUGGGGCAAGUAAUCCAGAUUGAUGGUCAAAGAGAUGCACAGCCUGACCAUCACAUGUAAACCCAUGAUGGUAAUCAUGAUCACAAGAUCCUUGGAUUGACUUACCCCACCUAGAAGACAAGAAGCAGACUGAAAUUCCUUUAAGGGGACCUUUUAACCUCUGGUCUCCACAGAACGUCCUUAUGUCUUUUACAGAUGGAGAUGCACCAAAAUGAACUAAAAAAAAGACUUAUAAAGGAAUAUCAGUCCAUUGCUUAACUCCAUAUCAUAUAUGAAACCCACACAUUUGACUAUCAUGUUUCUAAUCACUUAUUGUGUAUGUCUUUUUAAUAACUAUUGAAUAGCUUAAGGUUUCAUAUUCAUGUUUAGUAUGUGUGUGUUUGAAUCUUCUAGCUUGAAACAUUUCUGACCAUCAGUUAUUUGAUUAAAUGUAUCAUAUUCUUGUUAUAGGAAUCAUGUCCAAAAUUCUGACCACGUGAUUGAUAAGAUAACAUGAUUUAUGAAUGGGCAAGAAAAACAUUGCAACACCCCGAGCAAAGGCAAUAUCUAAUUGGUCAAGACAACAUUUGAGGUGUGGCCGAAAGGCCAGUUUUUAUAUACUCAGGACACAAUCAAAUUUUGGAUUUUAGCUUUUGCUUUUUAGCUUUUGCUUUUAGUCAUGCCAGCUCUUAGCUGCUGCUUUUAGUCAUCACUCUUUGCGUUCUUUGAGCACUGUUCCAGCAUGCUUCGGCCUGCACGCCUGCUGCUACUUAGCCACGAUGAGAAGAAACACCAACUAGUCUCGUCAAACUUUACUUCUAUUCUUU
Cyprinus carpio (common carp) is the source of this 1305-nucleotide long non-coding RNA. The record is from Ensembl. Lineage: Eukaryota; Metazoa; Chordata; Actinopteri; Cypriniformes; Cyprinidae.